UUCACAUGGCUGCUUCAGAAGGAAAUUUUGGUGUUGCUGAACUUCUCCUAAACGCUGGAGCACCGAUGGGCAGCGUGGAUAAGGACGGUAAGACACCGAAAGACAGAGCCAAAAGAAAAGACGUCCCAGCUUACUGUUCAUCUAUGAAUACAUUCAACAUCCUAGAAGGAAGGAAGAUUGUUCUCGAGCUACUUACAUCGGGCAGGGUGACUAGCCCAUUUAGGUACAAAUUGAACGAAGAUGGAGGUAAGCUUCAAACUAUGUCGUGUACUGUCAGUGUACCACCUGGAGCCCUCGCCAUGGAAACAGAAUUCAUCUGUCAGGUCAUCAGCACCGAUGCCAUCACACUGCCCCUCGCUAAAGAGAUAUUAGUGAGUAACAUCAUACAACU
Long non-coding RNA from Branchiostoma belcheri (Belcher's lancelet), 391 nucleotides. RefSeq lists it as uncharacterized. The transcript has 3 exons. NCBI's taxonomy places the organism in Eukaryota, Metazoa, Chordata, Leptocardii, Amphioxiformes, Branchiostomatidae. The record is from RefSeq and is a predicted model, not a curated record.